AGAGGCGGAACUUUGGGAGACUCAACAUAUUCAGACUGACACGGAGAACUUUACACAUCUUGCACGAUAUGACUGAGGGGACGCACUUGCGUAGGCGAGGGGGGCCGCACAAGACGGAAGCAGCCACGGACAUGAGCCGCUGGCGGCUGACCAGCGCUGACGGCAGGCAAACCUGGCGUUACGUGGACGAUGUCGACGGUCCAGAGAGAGAGCAGACCAUGCUAGAGGCCCAUUCUUUAGGCUUGGACACGACAAAGUUUGUGUGUGACUCCCCGCCCGCCAGCACAGCCUUACGAGCAGCCAUGAAGGGUAUGCUCUUCUACAGUCACCUCCAGGCGGAGGACGGCCACUGGGCGGGGGACUAUGGUGGACCUCUCUUCCUGCUUCCAGGUCUACUGAUCACUUGCCAUAUAGCUAAGAUCCCUCUGCACGAGGCUUGGAAGUUGGAGAUGAUUCGAUACUUGCGCUCUGUUCAGCUUCCAGAUGGAGGCUGGGGCCUACAUAUUGAAGAUAAAUCAACAGUAUUUGGCACAGCUCUGAGCUACACCUCGCUAAGGAUUCUGGGUGUCGGUCCAGAUGACCCAGAUAUGGUUCGAGCGAGGAACAACCUACACAGCAAAGGUGGUGCAGUUGGGAUUCCUUCAUGGGGGAAAUUCUGGCUGGCCAUUCUCAAUACCUACAGCUGGGACGGAAUGAACACGCUGCUACCAGAGAUGUGGUUGCUCCCCACUUGGAUGCCGGCUCACCCCUCGACGCUGUGGUGCCACUGCCGCCAGGUGUACCUCCCCAUGAGCUACUGCUAUGCUGUCCGACUCGCCGCUGAGGAGGACGCCCUGGUCCUCGGCCUCAGACAGGAGCUUUAUGUCCAGGACUAUGCUAGUAUUGACUGGCCAGCUCAGAGGAGCAACGUGGCACCGUGUGAUUUAUACACACCUCAAAGCACACUUCUGACUGUCUCUUACAUGGUGCUAAACGUGUAUGAGGCUCACCACAGCGCCGCGCUGAGAGGAAUGGCUGUCAAAGAAUUAUAUGAGCACAUUCAAGCUGAUGACCGCUUCACAAAAUGCAUCAGCAUUGGACCGAUUUCCAAGACAAUCAACAUGCUGGUCCGCUGGUCCGUGGACGGUCCGUCUUCUCCAGCCUUCCAGGAGCACGUUUCCAGGAUCCCCGACUACCUCUGGUUGGGACUCGAUGGCAUGAAAAUGCAGGGCACCAAUGGCUCUCAGCUCUGGGACACUUGCUUCGCUGUGCAGGCUUUCCUCGAGGCAGGAGCCCAGGACGACCCUGAACUCGCCGAGUGUCUCGGACGUGCCCACAAGUUUCUCACCGUCACGCAGAUUCCAGAUAAUCCCCCAGAUUACCAAAAGUACUACAGACAGACAAACAAGGGAGGUUUCCCCUUCAGUACCCGGGACUGUGGCUGGAUAGUGGCGGACUGCACGGCUGAGGGUCUCAAGACGUUGAUGUUACUGGACGAGCUGUGCCCCUCCAUCAGCAAACCUGUCGCUUUGGAGCGCCUGCACGAUGCUGUCAAUGUGCUGUUGAGCAUGAGAAACUCAGAUGGAGGAUUUGCCACAUACGAAACAAAGAGAGGGGGGAGACUCCUGGAGCUGCUCAACCCGUCUGAGGUGUUUGGCGACAUCAUGAUAGAUUAUACCUACGUGGAAUGUACGUCAGCGGUGCUCCAGGCUCUGAGGCACUUCCAAAAAGUCCACCCAGAACACCGCGCCGAGGAAAUAAGCAACACCCUGAGAGAAGGACUGGAUUAUUGUCGGAAGGUGCAGAGGCCAGAUGGAUCCUGGGAAGGGUCCUGGGGAGUGUGUUUCACAUACGGGACCUGGUUUGGCCUCGAAGCCUUGGCUUGUAUGGGCCACGUCUACAGGAACAGCAGGGAUGUAUGUGCCGAGGUGCAGAGAGCUUGUGGGUUCCUGUUGGAUCAGCAGAUGUCAGACGGCGGCUGGGGGGAGGACUUUGAGUCGUGUGAGCGGCGUUGCUACGUUCAGAGCCGCUCCGCUCAGAUCCACAACACCUGCUGGGCUUUGCUAGGACUCAUGGCUGUCAGACACCCAGACCAGCAGGCCAUUGAAAGAGGAAUACAACUACUGGUUGAUAAGCAGCUUCCCAAUGGAGACUGGCCUCAGGAGAACGUUGCAGGCGUGUUCAACAAGAGCUGUGCUAUCAGCUACACCUCCUACAGAAAUGUCUUCCCUAUUUGGACCCUUGGACGCUUCUCUACAUUAAACCCUGGCAGUUCUCUGACGGGAAAGCUCAACUUGUGAAUCAACUUGCCCGGUGUGAAGGUUUCCCUCUUGGGUGGGUUCUCCUGGCUGACAGAUCUUCAGGAGCCCGUCCCGCGUCUCUCCCUGGCUCCAACUCCAAACUCCUCUGUCUCGUUCCGGCUGCUGCUAAUAAAGGCGACAGGUGAUUAGAUAACAAGGCCCACCCGGGCCAUCUACACACCUGUCUUCGAGGCCGGUCCUUGCACACCCCGUUCCGCGGCAGGCCCGCAGGCCACGCCCCCCCUCCACAGUAGGCUAACUCAACUAAACCAGUAUCUCUUAGGGCUCUGGUUCACUCUCCCAUCCGCUCUGCUACUUUCGCUUUUACGAAAAAUCCCAUCGUAAAAACCUCACUUAGGAUCUGGAUUCAGUUUAAGCGCUAGUUUGCUGGUCUUGCACCAAUCACAGCUAAUCAUGCUUUCCCUCCCUCUCUUGUCGAUAGUGCCUUUUUAAGAUGGUGAAGUCUGAAGAUCAACAGUAUUAAAUAUUUAUACCUUGACAACACUUUUGCCUCUUUCACGCCCUAAUCAACACUUUUUUAAGAUAUCUACAGAUCCGUAAAUAUUGUUCGUAAUACUUUUCCCAGGUUUCCAAACAUACCGACUAACACAGUUUUAGAUGUGUUUCUUCCAACUUUAAAAGCAUGAAUUACACAUAUUUAUAACCUAAUCUUUGAGGUAACCCCUCUGUUAUCUUCUCUCAGCAAAUCCAAAAAUAAUGUACUUUGUUAGCUAGAAGACUUAUUGUGCUUAACUGGAAGGCUGCAUAUCAGAGAUAUUUUUUAUUUUCUUAAAUUAGAGAAAAUUAUGCUGACAUUGAAUGGUUGUUCUGUAAAAUUUCAAGAAGUAUGGGGUGCUUUCUUAAAAUAUGUAAAGGAGACUGAUCUCCAGUUUGGCCCCUAUUGAGAUGUGAUUGAAUUGUGGGUGAUUGAUGAGCCUUUUGUUUGGGUAUGUGUAUGACUGCACCAUGUUGAGGCCAUUUGGAAGUCCAGUUGUCUGUGGCUUCAUGUCAAUAUUUGCCUGUACUUAUUUGACUUAAAAAAAAAAUUUUUUUGAAGGGGUGGGAGAAAAAAAUGACAUUUUAUUUGUAUUGUAUUCAUGCCAACUAUGUGUCAAAAAUUUCAAUAAAUAAUUUUUAAAAAGUCAUACGUUUGAUUUAUUCAACACUCAGAUCUUCAGAACAACUUCAGGUCCGUCGAUAUAAAGUUUUUUGUUUUUUUUAUGUUCUCUUUUUGUCAAA
Entelurus aequoreus (snake pipefish) is the source of this 3518-nucleotide RNA transcript. It is a transcript of the gene named lanosterol synthase (2,3-oxidosqualene-lanosterol cyclase), with no coding region annotated. The transcript is spliced from 24 exons. NCBI's taxonomy places the organism in Eukaryota, Metazoa, Chordata, Actinopteri, Syngnathiformes, Syngnathidae. The record is from RefSeq and is a predicted model, not a curated record.